RNAcentral lists this ribosomal RNA (587 nucleotides) under uncultured organism. RNAcentral describes it as "bacterial SSU rRNA". It matches the Rfam family "Bacterial small subunit ribosomal RNA", at positions 136 to 701 of the family's 1533-position model. The record is from RNAcentral.
GUAGGGGAUAGCUGUGGAACACAGGGUAAUACCCGAUGUGACUGAUAUCUUGCGGGGUAUUGGUGAAAGGUGCUGAGGCACGGCAUAAGGAUGAGCCUGCGUCUGAUAAGUUAGUUGGUGGGGUAAAGGCCUACCAAGGCGACGAUCAGUAGCCGGCCUGAGAGGGUGACCGGCCACACUGGGACUGAGACACGGCCCAGACUCCUACGGGAGGCAGCAGCUAAAGAAUCUUCCGCAAUGGGGGAAACCCUGACGGAGCGACGCCGGUUGAACGAAGAAGGCCGUGAGGUUGUAAAGUUUCUUUUCUCGGAGAAGAAUAAUGUAGCGAAGGGAAUGCGCUACAGAUGACAUUACCCGAGGAAUAAGCCCCGGCUAAUUACGUGCCAGUAGCCGCGGUAACACGUAAGGGGCGAGCGUUGGUUCGGAUUUACUGGGCGUAAAGGGCGUGUAGGCGGGUUUUGUAAAGCCCUGGUGUGAAAGGGCUCCGGCUUAACUUGGGAGUUUUGGGCUGGGAACCUGCAAGACUAGAGUGCAGGAAGGGGAAGCUGGAAUUCCUUGGUGUAGGGGUGAAAUCUGUAGAUAUCAGG